CCCUUAGAUGUUCUGGGCCGCACGCGUGCUACACUGAGUAAUUCAAUGGGUAAGGGAACGCUAGAGCAUUACCUAAUCUUGAAAUUUGCUCGUGAUGGGGAUCGACGGUUGCAAUUUUCCGUCGUGAACGAGGAAUACCUUGUAGGCGCAUGUCAUCAUCAUGCGCUGAAUACGUCCCUGCCCUUUGUACACACCGCCCGUCGCUCCUACCGAUUGAGUGGUCCGGUGAGGCUUUGGGAUCUGAGCGGAAAGAGCGUUUCGCUGUUUCUGCUCGGAAAACUCAGUCGAACCUUAUCAUUUAGAGGAAGGUGAAGUCGUAACA
This 322-nucleotide ribosomal RNA is filed under the name uncultured eukaryote. Its description in RNAcentral is "partial 18S ribosomal RNA". It matches the Rfam family "Eukaryotic small subunit ribosomal RNA", at positions 1470 to 1796 of the family's 1831-position model. The record is from RNAcentral.